AGCGAACGCUGGCGGCAGGCUUAACACAUGCAAGUCGAACGCCCCGCAAGGGGAGUGGCAGACGGGUGAGUAACACGUGGGAACGUACCCUUUGGUUCGGAAUAACUUGGGGAAACUCAAGCUAAUACCGGAUAAGCCCUUAUGGGGAAAGGUUUACUGCCGAAGGAUCGGCCCGCGUCUGAUUAGCUAGUUGGUGAGGUAAUGGCUCACCAAGGCGACGAUCAGUAGCUGGUCUGAGAGGAUGAUCAGCCACACUGGGACUGAGACACGGCCCAGACUCCUACGGGAGGAAGCAGUGGGGAAUAUUGGAGAAUGGGGGCAACCCUGAUCCAGCCAUGCCGCGUGAGUGAUGAAGGCCUAGGGUUGUAAAGCUCUUUUACCCGGGACGAUAAUGACUGUACCGGGAGAAUAAGCCCCGGCUAACUUCGUGCCAGCCGCCGCAGUAA
RNAcentral lists this ribosomal RNA (446 nucleotides) under uncultured bacterium. RNAcentral's name for it is "partial 16S ribosomal RNA". It matches the Rfam family "Bacterial small subunit ribosomal RNA", at positions 29 to 523 of the family's 1533-position model. The record is from RNAcentral.